Long non-coding RNA from Drosophila pseudoobscura, 1537 nucleotides. RefSeq lists it as uncharacterized. The transcript has 2 exons. NCBI's taxonomy places the organism in Eukaryota, Metazoa, Arthropoda, Insecta, Diptera, Drosophilidae. The record is from RefSeq and is a predicted model, not a curated record.
UUUUCUAAAUUCUAAAUAUUUGUACAAUCUAUUCAAUUUUUGUUAUAUUCUAAACAAAUUUUAAUUAACUUCCAAAAAGUAAUAAUUGCGGAUGAGUUCUCUCAACGCAGAUUUUGGACUUGACAGCAGCUGCUGCCGGCGUGUAGCAUUGCGGGGAUUUUUAUGUUAAUUAAAUCUGCGGCCACGGCGGUCGCGAUGCCGGUGGCGGUCGGAUCGGUUAACCCAAAAAAAUUUAAGGCCCCAACCUGGUGCUGACAUUAAUCAUUUUGCCUUUCAAAUGCAUUUUCAUUAGGCGCGGGCCAAAUUGAAAGUUGUCUCAGUGCACAUGCCCCCGGGAGCCGUGGCUCAUUAAUAACCGACAAGAAGGCAUAAUUCUUUGUCUUCAUCUGGAUGCCAAAACGUUGACAGGCUGCCGAAUGCGGUGGAUGUUCUUAGAAGCACACCUUCUACAAGGGGCGGCGUCAUUCAAUGUAGAAUAUUGACCAACUAACGAAUUUCCCACCGAACCUGCCAAAUGGAGUGCCUUAAACUACGGCCCGUCCGAACUUUUCCAAUUAAAUCCGUGGCAAAAGUUGUGUUUUUCUCCGUGUGCUAGUGGGGAAACAAGCAAAGUUCUAAUGAGUUUAUUAAUCUGCGAUAAAUUUGGUCUGCCUAUGCAUAUGCGGGCGGCGGCGUAUCGUCGAAAGUUUUAUUAAAAGAAAAACCUUGCGAUAGUUGUCAUAAUUUCAUGUCAGAGGUGUUUAGGACCAUCAAUUGCAGCUCCCGACAACUAGAUCAUCAUUUAGCUUAAGGCCAAGUCUUUAAGCCAACGUAGAGCAAAGGGACAUUCAAGCCAGCAUAUUUCUCACUGGAGAUAAUUAAUCAGCAAAGUGUCAAUUUAUCAAUCCAGCGGCCGAUGAAUCCCAUCAAUGGAAAUUCAAUGCCAGUCAGAGAUCUAAAAUGACUCUUUCUUUUCCCUAUUUGGGCCAUGAGUAUAUUGACAGGAUAAACGCAACUCAACAAGCUGUUAGAGCCUGGCCAUGGAAAAUAACCCGCGAAAAAAAUAAGUCAGAGGACAGAAAAAAAAAUUACCUCAAAGGGAACGCUAAACGUUUGGAGAAAGCUCAUUUAAUCAACCGUUGCCCUGGCAACCACCAUCCAACCCCAACCCUCCAGCGCAUUGAAAGGAAAAUGUCAACUAAUUAUUAUGACAAACAUUAAACAUCCGCCCCGUUGGCCCAUUAGCAUACGGGUACUAUGGCUUAACUGCUUAGCGAAAUGAAAUUGAAACGCUGUCAAUGGUAUUAUUACAGCCAGAGAAAAAAGCCCUGAGAAUCAAAUAGUAACACUUAGAUUGAAAAAUGUAUGCCAAUAUUAUUAGAUCCAAACGAAUUUUAUUCAAUUUCACCUCGGCUGUAUGUAAAAACCGAAUAUAUGUUUUAAAUAUAGGUGUCAUUUUAGCAUGCCCGGUUUUUCUGAGUGCAGUUGGAAUAAAAUCCCAUAUAAGAUAUGAACAUUCAUUUACCCCGCCGUGAAGAUAAAAUCAAACAUGAGCAAA